UACGUAGGGGGCUAGCGUUAUCCGGAAUUACUGGGCGUAAAGGGUGCGUAGGUGGUUUCUUAAGUCAGAGGUGAAAGGCUACGGCUCAACCGUAGUAAGCCUUUGAAACUGGGAAACUUGAGUGCAGGAGAGGAGAGUGGAAUUCCUAGUGUAGCGGUGAAAUGCGUAGAUAUUAGGAGGAACACCAGUUGCGAAGGCGGCUCUCUGGACUGUAACUGACGUUGAGGCUCGAAAGCGUGGGGAGCAAACAGG
Molecule: ribosomal RNA, 252 nt
Filed under: uncultured bacterium
Lineage: Bacteria
Description: partial 16S ribosomal RNA
Rfam family: Bacterial small subunit ribosomal RNA
Source: RNAcentral